RNAcentral lists this transfer RNA (72 nucleotides) under Ornithorhynchus anatinus (platypus). It matches the Rfam family "tRNA". From Rfam's summary of the family: Transfer RNA (tRNA) molecules are approximately 80 nucleotides in length. Their secondary structure includes four short double-helical elements and three loops (D, anti-codon, and T loops). Lineage: Eukaryota; Metazoa; Chordata; Mammalia; Monotremata; Ornithorhynchidae. The record is from Rfam by way of RNAcentral.
AGCAGUGUGGCCUAAUGCAAAGAACACUGAUCUGGAAUUCAGGAAACCUGGGUUCUAAUCCCAGCUCUGCUC